This 287-nucleotide ribosomal RNA is filed under the name uncultured bacterium. RNAcentral's name for it is "partial 16S ribosomal RNA". It matches the Rfam family "Bacterial small subunit ribosomal RNA", at positions 28 to 307 of the family's 1533-position model. The record is from RNAcentral.
GAUGAACGCUGGCGGCGUGCCUAAUACAUGCAAGUCGAACGAGGCCCUUUGUAUUCGUACGAAGGUGUCCUAGUGGCGAACGGGUGAGUAACACGUUGGUGACCUGCCCCGAAGAGAGGGAUAACUCUGGGAAACUAGAGCUAAUACCUCAUACCCUUGAAAGAGUUAGGUUUCUUUUGAGGAAAGGGAGCAAUCCGCUUCGGGAGGGGCCUGCGGUCCAUCAGCUAGUUGGUAGGGUAAUGGCCUACCAAGGCGACGACGGAUAGGGGGCCUGAGAGGGUGGUCCC